GGGAUUGCCUCAGUAACGGCGAGUGAAGCGGCAACAGCUCAAAUUUGAAAUCUGGCCCCCCGGGUCCGAGUUGUAAUUUGCAGAGGAAGCUUUUGGCGAGGCGCCUUCCGAGUUCCCUGGAUACGGGACGCCAUAGAGGGUGAGAGCCCCGUACGGUCUGGUGCCGAGCCUCUGUAAAGCUCCUUCGACGAGUCGAGUAGUUUGGGAAUGCUGCUCUAAGUGGGAGGUAAACUCCUUCUAAAGCUAAAUACUGGCCAGAGACCGAUAGCGCACAAGUAGAGUGAUCGAAAGAUGAAAAGCACUUUGGAAAGAGAGUUAAAAAGCACGUGAAAUUGUUGAAAGGGAAGCGCUUGUGACCAGACUUGCGCCUGGCAGCUUAGCCGCCCUUCUGGGCGGUGUACUCUGCCGGCUCAGGCCAGCAUCAGUUUCGGGCAGGGGAGAAAUGCGGCGGGAAUGUGGCUCUUCGGAGUGUUAUAGCCCGCCGUUAUGCCCUGCCGGGGACUGAGGUUCGCGCUCUGCACGGAUGCUGGCGUAAUGGUUACUAGCGACCCGUCUUGAAACACGGACCAAGGAGUCAUCCUCAUAUGCGAGUGUUAGGGUGCAAAACCCCUACGCGAAAUGAAAGUGAACGGAGGUGAGAGCUUCGGCGCAUCAUCGACCGAUCCUGAUGUUAUCGGAUGGAUUUGAGUAUGAGCAUAUGGGGCUGGACCCGAAAGAAGGUGAACUAUGCUUGGAUAGGGUAAAGCCAGAGGAAACUCUGGUGGAGGCUCGCAGCGGUUCUGACGUGCAAAUCGAUCGUCAAAUCUGAGCAUGGGGGCGAAAGACUAAUCGAACCUUCUAGUAGCUGGUUUCCGCCGAAGUUUCCCUCAGGAUAGCAGUGUUGAUCUCAGUUUUAUGAGGUAAAGCGAAUGAUUAGGGACUCGGGGGCGCUUAUUAGCCUUCAUCCAUUCUCAAACUUUAAAUAUGUAAGAAGCCCUUGUUACUUUAGUGAACGGGG
RNAcentral lists this ribosomal RNA (997 nucleotides) under Halosarpheia fibrosa. Its description in RNAcentral is "eukaryotic LSU rRNA". It matches the Rfam family "Eukaryotic large subunit ribosomal RNA", at positions 71 to 1104 of the family's 3401-position model. The record is from RNAcentral. Lineage: Eukaryota; Fungi; Ascomycota; Sordariomycetes; Microascales; Halosphaeriaceae.